This 253-nucleotide ribosomal RNA is filed under the name uncultured bacterium. RNAcentral's name for it is "partial 16S ribosomal RNA". It matches the Rfam family "Bacterial small subunit ribosomal RNA", at positions 524 to 776 of the family's 1533-position model. The record is from RNAcentral.
UACGUAGGGGGCUAGCGUUGUCCGGAAUCAUUGGGCGUAAAGCGCGCGUAGGCGGCCCGGUAAGUCCGCUGUGAAAGUCAAAGGCUCAACCUUUGAAUGUCAGCGGAUACUGCCGGGCUAGAGUCCGGAAGAGGCGAGUGGAACUCCUGGUGUAGCGGUGGAAUGCGCAGAUAUCAGGAAGAACACCAACGGCGAAGGCAGCUCGCUGGGACGGAACUGACGCUGAGGCGCGAAAGCGUGGGGAGCGAACGGG